This 449-nucleotide ribosomal RNA is filed under the name Amanita hesleri. RNAcentral's name for it is "LSU rRNA". It matches the Rfam family "Bacterial large subunit ribosomal RNA", at positions 1719 to 2103 of the family's 2925-position model. Lineage: Eukaryota; Fungi; Basidiomycota; Agaricomycetes; Agaricales; Amanitaceae. The record is from RNAcentral.
AAAAUAUCCUCAUAAGUUAGACGAUAAGAGGUACCAUCUAUGAUUUCAAUUAUUAAGAAUUUUAAUUUAUUUUUUUCCCACAGGAGAAGGAUAGAAUCAAAGUUAAAAAUAACUGAUAGAUAGAGGGUGGCACAGAAUCGGAGGCCCCGACUGUUUACUAAAAACACAACACAGUGCAAUCAUUAAUGUGGUAGUAUACUGUGUGAAAUUUGCCCAAUGCCAUUAAUAUAAAAGCGGUCAUGGGAAACUGUGACUAAUUGAAAAUCUGGUUAAUAGCGGUCUUAAUCAUGAGGAUCCUAAGGUAGCAAAAUAAAUUGGCCAUUAAAUGUGGUCCGGUAUCAAUAAUGUAACGAUGGCCUCACUGUCUCUACAACUUGCUCAGUGAAAUUGAAUUACGCGUGCAGAUGCGCGUUACCUCCAGUGGGACGGGAAGACCCUAUGCACUUUCU